This 555-nucleotide ribosomal RNA is filed under the name uncultured archaeon. RNAcentral describes it as "bacterial SSU rRNA". It matches the Rfam family "Archaeal small subunit ribosomal RNA", at positions 325 to 882 of the family's 1478-position model. The record is from RNAcentral.
ACGGGGUGCAGCAGGCGCGAAACCUUUACACUGCACGCACGUGGGAUAAGGGGACUCCGAGUGCGAGGGCAUAUCGUCCUCGCUUUCGUGUACCGUAGGUGGUACACAACAAGGGCUGGGCAAGACCGGUGCCAGCCGCCGCGGUAACACCGGCAGCCCGAGUGAUGGCCGCUUUUAUUGGGCCUAAAGCGUCCGUAGCCGGCCGUUCAGGUCCGUCGGGAAAUCCACUGGCUCAACCAGUGGGCGUCCGGCGGAAACCGAUCGGCUUGGGACAGGGAGACCAGAGGGGUACGUCCGGGGUAGGAGUGAAAUCCUGUAAUCCUGGACGGACCACCGGUGGCGAAAGGCCUCUGGAGAACUGAUCCGACGGUGAGGGACGAAAGCUGGGGUCUCGAACCGGAUUAGAUACCCGGGUAGUCCCAGCUGUAAACAAUGCUCGCAUGGUGUGUCGCAGGCUACGAGCCUGGAUGGUGCCGUAGGGAAGCCGAGAAGCGAGCCGCCUGGGAAGUACGUCCGCAAGGAUGAAACUUAAAGGAAUUGGCGGGGGAGCACGGG